AGAGUUUGAUCCCGGCUCAGAAUCAACGCUGGCGGCGCGCUUAACACAUGCAAGUCGCACGAGAAAGGGAGCAAUCCUAAGUAAAGUGGCGUACGGGUGAGUAACACGUGGAUCAUCUACCUUUUGGCGGGGAAUACCUCUUGGAAACGGGAGACAAUACCGCAUAAGCUCGAAAGAGGAAAGCAGCAAUGCACCGAAAGAGGAGUCCGCGGUCGAUUAGCUAGAUGGUGAGGUAAUGGCUCACCAUGGCGAAGAUCGAUAGCCGGCCUGAGAGGGCUCACGGCCACACUGGCACUGAAACACGGGCCAGACUCCUACGGGAGGCAGCAGUGGGGAAUCUUGCACAAUGGAGGAAACUCUGAUGCAGCGACGCCGCGUGAGUGAUGAAGCCCUUCGGGGUGUAAAGCUCUUUCGACAGGAACGAUAAUGACGGUACCUGAAGAAGAAGCUGCGGCUAACUACGUGCCAGCAGCCGCGGUAAUACGUAGGCAGCAAGCGUUGUUCGGAAUUACUGGGCGUAAAGAGUGUGUAGGCGGUGCUCUAAGUUUGGUGUGAAAUCUCCCGGCUCAACCGGGAGGCUGCAUCGAAUACUGGAAUGCUAGAGGGUGGGAGAGGUAAGCGGAAUUCCUGGUGUAGCGGUGAAAUGCGUAGAUAUCAGGAGGAACACCUGUGGUGUAGACAGCUUACUGGACCACUUCUGACGCUGAGACACGAAAGCGUGGGUAGCAAACAGGAUUAGAUACCCUGGUAGUCCACGCCCUAAACGAUGCAUACUUGGUGUGGGCCAUUCAUUUGGUCUGUGCCGGAGCUAACGCGUUAAGCACUCCGCCUGGGGAGUACGGUCGCAAGACUAAAACUCAAAGGAAUUGACGGGGGCCCGCACAAGCGGUGGAGCAUGUUGUUUAAUUCGACGCAACGCGAAGAACCUUACCUGGGCUAGAAAGUACAGGAAGUCGGUCGAAAGGUCGAUGUGCCCUUCGGGGAACCUGUGGUUAGGUGCUGCAUGGCUGUCGUCAGCUCGUGUCGUGAGAUGUUGGGUUAAGUCCCGCAACGAGCGCAACCCCUGUUGUUAGUUGCCAGCAUUAAGUUGGGCACUCUAACAAGACUGCCGACCUUUAAGUCGGAGGAAGGUGGGGAUGACGUCAAGUCAUCAUGGCCCUUAUGUCCAGGGCUACAAACGUGCUACAAUGGUCGGUACAAAGGGUAGCGAACUCGCGAGAGGGAGCCAAUCUCAAAAAGCCGACCUCAGUACAGAUAGGAGUCUGCAACUCGACUCCUUGAAGUCGGAAUCGCUAGUAAUCGCUGAUCAGCAUGGCAGCGGUGAAUACGUUCCCGGGCCUUGUACACACCGCCCGUCACACCAUGGGAGUCGAUUGCUCCAGAAGUACCUGAGCCAACCGCAAGGAGGCAGGGUCCCAAGGAGUGAUCGGUAACUGGGGUGAAGUCG
Molecule: ribosomal RNA, 1447 nt
Filed under: metagenome
Description: bacterial SSU rRNA
Rfam family: Bacterial small subunit ribosomal RNA
Source: RNAcentral